GACGAACGCUGGCGGCGUGCCUAAUACAUGCAAGUCGAACGGAAAGGCCCUGCUUUUGUGGGUUGCUCGAGUGGCGAAAGCGUGAGUCACACUUGAGUAACCCGCCCUUGACUUUCGGGUAUCUUCUGGACACUGGGGCUAAUACCGGCUAGGAGAUCCUGCUGCAUAGGGGGGGAUGGAAAGUUACGGCGGUUGGGGAUGUACUGGCGGCUUAUCAGCUUGUUGGUGGGGUAGUGGCUUACCAAGGCUUUGACGGGUAGGCCGCCUGAGAGGGUGACCGGCCACAUUGGGACUGAGGGACGGCCCAGACUGGUACGGGAGGCAACAGGGGGGAAGAUUGCAGAAUGAGCGGAAGGCGGAUGCAGAAACGCUGCGGGCGGGAAGACGGCCUUCUGGUGGAAAACCGAUUUGGCCUGUAACGAAGCGUGAGUGACGGUAAUUGAUAAAGAAGCACCGGCUAACUACGUG
RNAcentral lists this ribosomal RNA (468 nucleotides) under uncultured bacterium. RNAcentral's name for it is "partial 16S ribosomal RNA". It matches the Rfam family "Bacterial small subunit ribosomal RNA", at positions 28 to 507 of the family's 1533-position model. The record is from RNAcentral.